This 88-nucleotide transfer RNA is filed under the name bacterium. RNAcentral's name for it is "tRNA-Ser". It matches the Rfam family "tRNA". Rfam says of the family: Transfer RNA (tRNA) molecules are approximately 80 nucleotides in length. Their secondary structure includes four short double-helical elements and three loops (D, anti-codon, and T loops). The record is from RNAcentral. RNAcentral also lists the same sequence under 4 other names.
GGAGGGGUGGCAGAGUGGUCGAAUGCACCGGUCUUGAAAACCGGCGUGCCGCAAGGUACCGUGGGUUCGAAUCCCACCCCCUCUGCCA